This 75-nucleotide transfer RNA is filed under the name Nitrospiraceae bacterium. RNAcentral's name for it is "tRNA-Val". It matches the Rfam family "tRNA". Rfam says of the family: Transfer RNA (tRNA) molecules are approximately 80 nucleotides in length. Their secondary structure includes four short double-helical elements and three loops (D, anti-codon, and T loops). The record is from RNAcentral. Lineage: Bacteria; Pseudomonadati; Nitrospirota; Nitrospiria; Nitrospirales; Nitrospiraceae.
GGGCGAUUAGCUCAGUGGGAGAGCGCUGCCUUCACACGGCAGAGGUCGUAGGUUCGAAACCUACAUCGCCCACCA